Molecule: unclassified non-coding RNA, 21 nt
Filed under: Mus musculus (house mouse)
Lineage: Eukaryota; Metazoa; Chordata; Mammalia; Rodentia; Muridae
Description: oocyte_clustered_small_RNA13674
Source: RNAcentral
UGAGCGGAGCCAUCUGGAACA